UAAAUGACUUCCAAUUAUUUGAUCUUAGUUUAACCCUAAGAAAAGACA
RNAcentral lists this transfer RNA (48 nucleotides) under Chioglossa lusitanica. RNAcentral's name for it is "partial tRNA-Gly". The record is from RNAcentral. Lineage: Eukaryota; Metazoa; Chordata; Amphibia; Caudata; Salamandridae.